AUUGAACGCUGGCGGCAGGCCUAACACAUGCAGGUCGAGCGGAUGAAGGGAGCUUGCUCCUGGAUUCAGCGGCGGACGGGUGAGUAAUGCCUAGGAAUCUGCCUGGUAGUGGGGGAUAACGUCCGGAAACGGGCGCUAAUACCGCAUACGUCCUGAGGGAGAAAGUGGGGGAUCUUCGGACCUCACGCUAUCAGAUGAGCCUAGGUCGGAUUAGCUAGUUGGUGGGGUAAAGGCCUACCAAGGCGACGAUCCGUAACUGGUCUGAGAGGAUGAUCAGGCACACGGGAACUGAGACACGGUCCAGACUCCUACGGGAGGCAGCAGUGGGGAAUAUUGGACAAUGGGCGAAAGCCUGAUCCAGUCAUGCAGCGUGUGUGAAGAAGGUCUUCGGAUUGUAAAGCACUUUAAGUUGGGAGGAAGGGCAGUAAGUUAAAACCGGGCUGUUUUGACGGUACCAGCAGAAUAAGCACCGGCUAACUACGUG
RNAcentral lists this ribosomal RNA (484 nucleotides) under uncultured bacterium. RNAcentral's name for it is "partial 16S ribosomal RNA". It matches the Rfam family "Bacterial small subunit ribosomal RNA", at positions 30 to 507 of the family's 1533-position model. The record is from RNAcentral.